GUGUCAGCAGCCGCGGUAAUACGUAGGGUGCAAGCGUUAAUCGGAAUUACUGGGCGUAAAGGGUGCGUAGGCGGCUUCUUAAGUCUGGUGUGAAAUCCCACAGCUUAACUGUGGGCGGUCAUUGGAAACUGGGGAGCUUGAGUACAGCAGAGGUAAGUGGAAUUUCAAGUGGAGCGGUGGAAUGCGUAGAUAUUUGAAGGAACACCAGUGGCGAAGGCGGCUUACUGGGCUGGAACUGACGCUAAGGCACGAAAGCGUGGGGAGCAAACAGGAUUAGAUACCCUGGUAGUCCACGCCGUAAACGUUGAGCACUAAGUAUCGGAUGAGAAUUCGGUGCUGCAGCUAACGCAUUAAGUGCUCCGCCUGGGGAGUACGGUCGCAAGACUGAA
This 389-nucleotide ribosomal RNA is filed under the name uncultured bacterium. RNAcentral's name for it is "bacterial SSU rRNA". It matches the Rfam family "Bacterial small subunit ribosomal RNA", at positions 505 to 898 of the family's 1533-position model. The record is from RNAcentral.